This 119-nucleotide ribosomal RNA is filed under the name Triticum aestivum (bread wheat). Lineage: Eukaryota; Viridiplantae; Streptophyta; Magnoliopsida; Poales; Poaceae. The record is from RNAcentral.
AGAUGCGAUCAUACCAGCACUAAAGCACCAGAUCCCAUCAGAACUCCGAAGUUAAGCGUGCUUGGGCGAGAGUAGUACUAGGAUGGGUGACCUCCUGGGAAGUCCUCGUGUUGCAUUCC